AGUGGGAUAACUGGAUCAAAUGGUGGUUCCAGUCUUAGUUUUCUGAGGAAUAUCAAUAUUGUUUUACAGAGUGAUUGCACCAAUUUGCAGUCCAACCAGCAAU
This 103-nucleotide microRNA precursor is filed under the name Marmota monax (woodchuck). Lineage: Eukaryota; Metazoa; Chordata; Mammalia; Rodentia; Sciuridae. The record is from RNAcentral.